Molecule: long non-coding RNA, 2647 nt
Organism: Passer domesticus (house sparrow)
Lineage: Eukaryota; Metazoa; Chordata; Aves; Passeriformes; Passeridae
Exons: 6
Source: RefSeq, a predicted model, not a curated record
CCAGGACCUGUGGAAACAUGGAGAAAAGUCCACACUGGAGCAGAUUUGCUGGCAGGACUUGUGAAUGUGUGAGGGACAUAUUCUCAGGUGCCUUUCCCAGUACACACCUGAUCUGGGCUGCACAAAUGGAAUGGUUGUUUGUAUUUCUUUUGCAAAACCCAUGGGGAACACAUGUCGUGGCAAAAGUAGCAGUUUAUGGUGCUGGGAGAAUGAGAUCCUGUUGGCAACUAGGAGCUUCUAAUGGGCACAGAUGGCACAAUUUAAUCCUUAUCAGAGGGACAGGAGUUAUGUAGAAACUGGUGGUGUUUGUCUUGUGGUGUGGAGAAGAUUAAUGUGAAACAUCAUGCAGCCACUCAUUCAUUCCCCCCUACCCAGGUGAAGUGAGGAGGAGAUUCAGAAAAAGGCACACAAGCACUGGAAGUCACUGAAGAAGAGUAGGAAAAAAAAAAAGGAAAAAAGAGCAGGACAAUUUGGAAUUAAAUCAUUUUGGCAGGUGAGGGGACUUUCAACCUGGGUCAAACUAAUAUCAGUUGAAUGAUUUGGAAAGAAAAUCCUCGUGUGGCAAAUAUUUUCUCUUUCCUUUUAUCAAAGAUAUUUAUAGGUUUUAAUAAGUGCAAAGAUUCGCAUUCAGCAUCUAAUGCAGCAUUCUCUGUUGUGGUAACAAUGCUGAUAAUGCCAUAAAUAAAUUCAGUAGUCUGGAGUUGCUCAAGUGAUGAAAUCAUCUUCUUUUUUAGUUCUUCCUCUUGCUGGCCCAGCUACAUCUCUUGGUGCCACUAAAAGCAGGCAGACUUUUGAAGAAGUAUUAUACAGAUUGAGGUGGAAGAUGAAAUGUCAUGUCACAUAUACCCUCCUGGCUCUCAGCUGCUGAAAGCUGAUGUUCCAGGGCAUUUCCCUCCAUCAUUAGGAAAGGGCUAUUAUGGAGAUAACAUGGGUUGUGGUGAGGUUCGGUCGAACUGGAGGAGAAAAUGCAUGGAAAAGGGACCAGGGAAAAAUGGGCAAGAAGUAAAAGGUUAGAAGAAAAUUUGAUAUUGCAAGAAAUAGAGGAAAAUAAAAAAAAGGAGAGACUAAAAAGUAGGUUAAAAUGUCUAAGGAAAAGGGUUGGGAGGGAGGGAAGAGAAAGGGAAGGAAGUAUUGAAGGUUAGUUUGAGAAGUUUGCUGACACUCUCAAAAAAUGUGUAGUAUCAGGAAUUCCCCAGAAAUUCCCAACUCUACAAACAGAAGACAGGCAAUGGCUGAAAAAGUUGGUCUUAUUUUAAUUAAAUGUUUAUUUAAGUCUAACAUAUUUAAAAAUUAUAAUUGGUUUCCCCCAGCAAUGCCCUUAACCAAGCCCCUUCACAAAGAUCUUUGAAAAGCAGUCAACUCAUGAAAAAUCCCACUUGGCAACCCUUUUUCCCUGAAAAAGGAGCUUACCGAAAUCUUCAAAGGCCAGAAUCUGGCAUAGUUUUCUCUUGAGUAAAGUUAACUCUGUGAGUUGAAGCCCCGCCAGGCAGUGCGAUGUGCUCCAGCUCGCUGCACGCGUGGUCUCUGUGUGCCCAAACCCAUGGGCAGGAGUGACUGACCUUUCUGCCCAGUGACACCUCAUCCCAUGCCACCUGCCCCUGCCUGAGGAGCCUCAUUUUUGUGCAUGGCCCACGUGGCAAACUGCAGCUGCAGCCAGGAUGGAUGGAUGAGGUUAGUACCAAGGCAGCUGCAUGGUGUAACCCAUCCCUGCCCUCGGACUGUUCAGUGUCCAGCUGCGGCAGCGCAGGGCGUGUUCUAUCAGCAGGUUUGUGAUCCCACAGGGAGAACAAAUACAUGAACUUUCAAUGAGCUUUAUUCUGCCAAAGCUGAUCCUCUCCCACUGCCCUUCGGUGUGGGCAGACAUUCCCUGCAGCACUGGAUGAAAUAUAAGGUGCCAUAACUGUGCACCUGAGCAGGUUUUCAUCCAGACACCACAGAGUUAAGGCUGGGUUUAAAUGAUUGUUUCUUGGACAGGACUUCUGAUGACUGUGAUCAAUGUUGAUGUGUAAGAGCAAACCUUUCAGAAUAAAGAAUAUAAAAUCCUAUUACUCUGCAAUUAAAAUCCACAGGGAUGUUUAGAGAAAAUUAAAAUUCAUGUCCUUGUUGCUACCUGUAAAAAUGGAUGGAGCGACUUGUUGCCUGAAAGCUCAAAUGGACUGCAAAACUUCUAAAUGAGGCGGAUGUUGGGAAACCACAGCUCCAGAGUUCUGAAAUUCAGGCUCUUUUCAUGCAUUCUAGAAUGGACCACCAUUGUUCUGAUUUAAUUUGGUAUAGACUGUUCUGACUCAUCAGCUGAAGUAUCCUUCUUCAAGAGGCUUGGCCAUGGAGACUACCAUUUCAUAAAUACCUUCCAUUUCCCAUCAGCUUUGCCCUGUCUUGAGCAUGCACAAUGGAGAAGGAAAGGCCCAGGAGUUACCAAUUACUCAAUAAAGGAGAAAGAACAUUCCUGUGUCUGCCAUGGAACAGUACAAAACAGCAAAGAAGAAAAGCAUGUGUUGUAUUUGUGGUCAACCAGGACAGCAAAAGGAGAGGAAGCCCCAAGAUUAACAGAAAAAAAAAAUCUGAUUUGUAAUGGCCACAAUAACUAGAUGGAAAAAAGCCACCAUGUAUUUCAAUUCCAGUUAAAUUAAAUCAUGUUUCUGCCUAA